RNAcentral lists this ribosomal RNA (490 nucleotides) under Salmonella enterica. RNAcentral's name for it is "bacterial SSU rRNA". It matches the Rfam family "Bacterial small subunit ribosomal RNA", at positions 1 to 480 of the family's 1533-position model. Lineage: Bacteria; Pseudomonadati; Pseudomonadota; Gammaproteobacteria; Enterobacterales; Enterobacteriaceae. The record is from RNAcentral.
AAAUUGAAGAGUUUGAUCAUGGCUCAGAUUGAACGCUGGCGGCAGGCCUAACACAUGCAAGUCGAACGGUAACAGGAAGCAGCUUGCUGCUUCGCUGACGAGUGGCGGACGGGUGAGUAAUGUCUGGGAAACUGCCUGAUGGAGGGGGAUAACUACUGGAAACGGUGGCUAAUACCGCAUAACGUCGCAAGACCAAAGAGGGGGACCUUCGGGCCUCUUACCAUCAGAUGUGCCCAGAUGGGAUUAGCUGGUUGGUGAGGUAACGGCUCACCAAGGCGACGAUCCCUAGCUGGUCUGAGAGGAUGACCAGCCACACUGGAACUGAGACACGGUCCAGACUCCUACGGGAGGCAGCAGUGGGGAAUAUUGCACAAUGGGCGCAAGCCUGAUGCAGCCAUGCCGCGUGUAUGAAGAAGGCCUUCGGGUUGUAAAGUACUUUCAGCGGGGAGGAAGGUGUUGUGGUUAAUAACCGCAGCAAUUGACGUUACCC